This is a long non-coding RNA of Bos indicus x Bos taurus (hybrid cattle), 2516 nucleotides long. Ensembl annotates it as solute carrier family 26 member 3. NCBI's taxonomy places the organism in Eukaryota, Metazoa, Chordata, Mammalia, Artiodactyla, Bovidae. The record is from Ensembl.
GUUGGGCAAUAGAAAUAGCCAUGUCUCCCUCUGCCAUGAGCACAUGUGGAGGAAAAAUGGAAUGUUUGCAUCACAUCCAUAAAACCCUUUAUAAGUCUUCAAAGGCAUUUUAACCUGCUAAAGGCAAGAAGGGUUUGCCACAUAGUUUCAAAGGUCUUCCACUUACUACAACCCUCAGAGAGGGCAAAAUGAUCGAGCCCAUUGGGAAUCAGUAUGUUGUGGCCAGGCCAGUGUAUUCUGCAAAUGCUUUUGGGGAAGACCAUAAGAAGAAACAAAGACAUCAUAAGACGCUUCUGGAUCAUCUCAAAAAGUUGUGCCGCUGUUCUGCACAAAGGGCCAAGAAAAUUGCCUUCUCCUCGUUCCCCAUAGCAUCUUGGUUGCCAGCAUAUCGCAUAAAGGAAUGGCUCCUCAGUGACAUUGUUUCUGGAAUCAGCACAGGGCUGGUGGCUGUACUGCAAGGUUUAGCAUUUGCUCUGCUAGUCACCAUCCCCCCAGGCUACGGGCUAUAUGCAGCCUUUUUCCCAGUCAUCAUCUACUUUUUCUUGGGCACUUCCAGACACAUAUCUGUGGGUCCAUUUCCAGUUCUGAGUAUGAUGGUGGGAGCAGUAGUUGUGAGACUAACCCCAACAGACAGUGCAGCUGAUUCAACAUUCACUAAUAGCUCAAUGACUAACGAUUCAUCAAUAGAUGAGCAGAAAGUGAUAGUGGCUGCAACAGUUACAAUUCUUUCUGGAAUCAUCCAGUUGCUGAUGGGGGUUCUACGGCUGGGCUUCGUGGUGAUUUAUCUAUCUGAGUCCCUUAUCAGUGGCUUCACCACCGCUGCCGCUAUUCAUGUUUUGGUUUCCCAGCUCAAAUUUAUGUUUCAGCUGACAGUCCCGGCACACACCGAUCCAUUUUCACUUUUUAAAGUCCUAGAGUCCGUAUUCUCACAAAUAGAGAAGACUAAUAUUGCAGACCUUGUGACAUCCUUGGUUAUCCUGGUGGUGGUAUUUGUGGUUAAAGAAAUAAAUCAGCGCUACAAAGCCAAGCUUCCAGUGCCCAUCCCAAUUGAACUCAUUGUGACUGUGAUCGCAACAGGUGUGUCCUAUGGCUUUGACUUCAAAAGAAGGUUUAAUGUGGCUGUGAUUGGGGAGAUGAAACCUGGGUUUCAGGCCCCUAUCAUACCUAGCAGGCAGACUUUCCAAGAUACCAUUGGAGACUGCUUUGGCAUUGCCAUUGUUGGCUUUGCAGUGGCCUUUUCUGUGGCCAGCGUCUACUCCCUCAAGUAUGAUUAUCCCAUUGAUGGCAAUCAGGAGUUGAUCGCCAUGGGAGCAGGUAACAUAUUUGGUGGAUCGUUCAGAGGAUUUGCAGCAAGUACCUCUCUCUCCAGAUCAGGGGUCCAGGAGAGUACAGGAGGCAAAACUCAGAUAGCUGGCCUUAUCUCUGCUAUCAUUGUGCUGAUUGUCAUCGUUGCCAUCGGAUUUCUCUUGGAGCCUCUACAAAAGUCUGUCCUGGCAGCUUUAGCACUUGGAAACUUGAAAGGAAUGCUGAUGCAGUUUGUGGAAAUACGAAGAUUGUGGCGAAAGGAUAAGUAUGAUUGUCUAAUCUGGGUCAUGACCUUCAUCUUUGCCGUUGUCCUGGGGCUCGGUUUAGGCCUGGCAGCUAGUGUGGCAUUUCAGCUCCUGACUAUCGUCUUCAGGACUCAGUUUCCCAAAUGCAGCAUGCUGGCUAACGUUGGAAGGAGCAACAUCUAUAAGAAUAGAAAAGAUUAUUCUGAAAUAUAUGAACCAGAAGGCGUGAAGAUUUUCAGAUGUCCAUCUCCUAUCUACUUUGCAAACAUUAGUUUCUUUAAGCAGAAACUUAUCGAUGCUAUUGGCUUUCGUCCACUUCGAAUUCUUCGCAAGCGCAACAAGGCUUUGAAGAAAAUCCGAAAACUGCAGAAGAAAGGCCUGCUACAAGUAACACCAAAAGGAUUUAUAUGUACUGUUGAUGGCUUUAAAGAUUCUGAUGAAGAGCUGGACAAUGAUAAGAUUGAAGAGCUGGAUCAGCCCAUCAAUACCAAAGACCUGCCUUUCCAAAUAGACUGGAAUGCUAAUCUUCCUCUCAACAUUGUGGUCCCUAAAAUCAACCUCCACAGCCUCAUUCUUGACUUUUCAGCAGUGUCAUUUCUUGAUGUUUCUUCAAUGAGAGGUCUCAAAACGAUUCUGCAAGAAUUUAUCAGGAUCCAGGUAGAUGUGUAUAUUGUUGGAACUGACGAUGACUUCAUUGAAAAGCUUACACGGUGUGAAUUUUUUGAUGAUGAAGUCAAGGACUCAAUAUUUUUCUUAACAAUCCAUGAUGCUGUUUUGCAUAUUUUGAUGAAGAAAGAUUACAGUACUUCAAAGUUUAAUCCCAGUCAGGAAGUAGAAGCAAAACUUGAUGAUUUCACCAUCAAUACAAACGGAGGAUUACGUAAUCGGGAAUGUCAGGUAAGAAUCUUCAGCAGGUUUAUGUACAUAUAUAUAGACAGUAUGACAAAGAACUUUCAAAAAUGCUGA